UACAGAGGUGCCAAGCGUUAGGCGGAAUCACUGGGCUUAAAGCGCGCGUAGGCGGAUGUUUAAGUGUCUUGUGAAAUCCCACGGCUCAACCGUGGAACUGCUGGGCAUACUGGGCAUCUCGAGGCACUCAGGGGCGAGCGGAACAAGUGGUGGAGCGGUGAAAUGCGUAGAUAUCACUUGGAACGCCAAUGGUGAAGACAGCUCGCUGGGGGUGUCCUGACGCUGAGGCGGCGAAAGCCAGGGGAGCGAACGGG
RNAcentral lists this ribosomal RNA (254 nucleotides) under uncultured bacterium. RNAcentral's name for it is "partial 16S ribosomal RNA". It matches the Rfam family "Bacterial small subunit ribosomal RNA", at positions 524 to 776 of the family's 1533-position model. The record is from RNAcentral.